Molecule: non-coding RNA, 46 nt
Organism: Schistosoma margrebowiei
Lineage: Eukaryota; Metazoa; Platyhelminthes; Trematoda; Strigeidida; Schistosomatidae
Source: Rfam
GCAUUGCUGGGGAGUUCCACAAUAGGACGAAACGGCCGUCCAGUGC